AUUUUGAGCUCAAAAGUUUUCAAAUAAAUCCGUGUUAAUCUGCUUCGGAAGAGAGGAAUUUUAAAGACUAUACUAUCAAUACAACAUUUAGUAUAAAGUCAAGCUUUCAGAAAUGGACGUUCUACAAUAUUAAAAUAACUGAAUAUUGCACCGAACGACGGGAUUUUGAAAUGGCAAUACAGUAUUUACAAGGAGCCGCCACCAUUAUAAAAUUGUUCACAUAAUAAUUGUUGUUGAUAUUUACAUAAUUUACUGGAGAAUUUGAAUACGUGUAUUGUCGUACGUUUUCCAAUGAAUCGACAAGUGUUUCAUUCGCAAACUAAAGUCUCGCAGAAGCUUCACAUACAGUAUGAAGAUUUAUACAACAGCGAUAUUACUUCAACCGUUUCCUACCUUUUAAAAUUUGAAGACAGUACGGUUCCACAUUUACUGGCAGUUCGUCCUCUUGUUUGUGAAAUGCAACUGCAUUCGCAGUGGAAAUAUUAUUUGGUUAUGCAAUUGAAGAGCUCUAGAGGUUUUAGAAUUAGGUUCUUUUGUUGGGUAUUAGCAAUGCUACAAAAAACUGAAGGUACUAUAAAAUAUGGGCCAUGCUAUUUAGUAUUCAAAUCCUCCCCCCCCCCCCCCCCCCC
Molecule: non-coding RNA, 629 nt
Organism: Paramuricea clavata
Lineage: Eukaryota; Metazoa; Cnidaria; Anthozoa; Malacalcyonacea; Plexauridae
Source: the annotation of a GenBank genome assembly